Molecule: long non-coding RNA, 710 nt
Organism: Hypanus sabinus (Atlantic stingray)
Lineage: Eukaryota; Metazoa; Chordata; Chondrichthyes; Myliobatiformes; Dasyatidae
Exons: 3
Source: RefSeq, a predicted model, not a curated record
UCGCUAUGCAGACGGCGGCUUCCAUUGGUCGCGUGCGAGUCUGCACAUCCACCGCCUCGUGACUGACCUUCCGGGAGAAGUGCGGGUAGGGCGCAGUCAGCAACUGCGGAGAUGGGAGCGUUGUGCAUCUGACAGUCCGGGCAAAAAUCAUCAGGCUAAGUUUCUUCUUGAAGAAGCUGAUAGUCACAUCAGAUACGAUAGACUGACUCUCCUGAACGUCGGGCAGACGGCAGUUACCAACUAUGUGCCGCCUUUCCGACACUGACAUCUCCUGUUCGCGCGAUCAAUGGGAGACUCACCUCCUACAUAGCUGUGACCUCGGAAGUGGCAUCAGAGGCGAGGGAGAAGGGCCGGUGCUCUGGUGAGGUUGAGACAGCGAGCUAGUCGGCCGCUGCUCCCUACCAUACUCCUGGCUAACGUUCAGUCCCUGGAUGAUAAACUGUGUGAACUGAGAGCCAGAAUCUCCUGCCAGUGGGAAACAAAGGAAUGUAAUGUUUUGUGCUUCAUGGAAACCUCACUGACGGAGGAGAUACUGGAUCAUGCCAUCAAGCCCUCUGGGUUCUCCCUGUUCCAGGCAGACAGAGUAAAAACAACAGAAAACGAUAAACCCCUGAUUUAGUUACAAUUUUACAAGUGGGAGCAGUACCUGUAUCCAUCAAUGAAGCUGGCAUUUAUGUAAUCAGAGCCCUCAACUCCUCGGAUUGGUUGCA